This is an RNA transcript of Oncorhynchus kisutch (coho salmon), 2007 nucleotides long. It is a transcript of the gene named ubiquitin carboxyl-terminal hydrolase 37-like, with no coding region annotated. The record is from RefSeq and is a predicted model, not a curated record. NCBI's taxonomy places the organism in Eukaryota, Metazoa, Chordata, Actinopteri, Salmoniformes, Salmonidae. The transcript is spliced from 11 exons.
UCUCGGGAAGCCAUGGCUUGCCUCCCCAACCUGGUCAGCAAGAGUAGCACCCAGCUGGGGGAGCAGAGCUGCACAGGCGAGGGCGAAGACAACACCAAGCUCCUCGGGUUGCCUAAUAUUGGCAACACCUGCUUCAUGAACUCUGCUCUGCAGUGCCUGCUGGGGCUGCCAGCAUUUUGCAGAGACAUCCUGAGACAGCAGAACAUCUGGAUUUCCUCCCCCUCCUCUAAACUGCUAUGCUGCUUUGCCAAGUUACAUCAGGCCAGGCUUUCUGGAGGCACUGUUAAUGCUAAGAACAAGGAAAAUAAGAAAAUCCUUCAAACAGUCAAGCGCUGCCUUUCCGUUGUCAAUGAGGACUAUGAGGAAGACUAUGAACAGGAUGCCCAUGAAUGUGUGUUGCUCCUCCUCUUUCAGCUGAAGGAGGAGGGUAUGGCAUUAAAGGGCUCACCAGAGCCAUACACCUGCCCCGUGAAGCAGUUAGAAUUCAAGCUGAAGACUUCCCGUACCUGCACCAGCUGUGGAGUUAUAGUGUAUGGUCAGGAGGAUUAUAAUCACCUGUCACUGAGCCUGAGCCAUUACCUGACACACAGCCUGGACCUCUACUUUAAGCCAUCUGCGUUAGAGUGUGCAUGCAGGGUGUGCUCAGGCAGCACAGCAUCUGUGACUAGGCACUUCCUCACGCUGCCCCGGGUCCUAAUGCUUCAUAUCAAGCGAUUUACUGCAGGCUACUGGGAGCCAGAGAAGUUGGAUGAUCCCAUGUCCAUCCCUGCAGAAAUAACCCUCCCAGCCGUAUGUGGGAAGACAGCCCAUGUCCAGUAUGGAGCCAGGGCAAGCUCCCUGGGUAGAAACAACAUGGACAACACACCUGCAAACUCCCCGAAAGGCACCCUUGAUAGACCAGAGACACCAGCCAGACAAUAUCUACAAAUUGUCAAGUGUGAUCUCACAUCUGGGAGACAACAUGUAUACAGGCCACUACAUCAGUGAUGUUUUGGACAGCCGUGGCAGUGGGUGGCUCUGCCUGGAUGACGCACAUGUCUUGAGGACAGAUGAGGCCACUGUGCUGAAGGAGAUUGCACAGACUGCCUACAUCCUGUUCUAUGUCUGCAGUAGAGAAGGUGAAGGAGACCAGGCCCCUCACUACCAGGAGAAGCACCAGGAGAACCCAUCAUUAAACUCAGGGAGAGGCACAGCGCUCAGGGACCACCUGGAGUAGCACGUACCACACACCAAGAAACAUCAGAUUAAUCGAAUUAGGCUGCCCUACACCACCAUCAACUGCCUUAGACCACCAUCAAGCUGCCUUAGACCACCAUCAAGCUGCCCUACACCCCCAUCAGACUGCCCUACUCCACCAUCAAGCUGCCCUAUACCACCAUCAAGCUGCCCUAGACCACCAUCAAGCUGCGUUACACCACCAUCAAGCUGCCCUACACCACCAUCAAGCUGCCUUAGACCACCAUCAACUGCCUUAGACCACCAUCAAGCUGCCCUACACCACCAUCAAGCUGCCCUAGACCACCAUCAAGCCUCCCUACACCACCAUCAAGCUGCCCUACUCCACCAUCAAGCUGCCCUAUACCACCAUCAAGCUGCCCUAGACCACCAUCAAGCUGCCCUAGACCACCAUCAAGCUGCCCUAGACCACCAUCAAGCUGCCCUACACCACCAUCAAGCUGCCCUAGACCACCAUCAAGCCUCCCUACACCACCAUCAAGCUGCCCUACACCACCAUCAGACUAUCCUAGACCACCAUCAAGCUGCCCUAGACCACCAUCAGACUAUCCUAGACCAUUAGGACAUCACACUGCCCUAAACCACCUGGACACCAAGCUGCCCUAGACCACCAGAACACCAGGCUGCCCUAGACCACCAGAACACCAGGCUGCCCUAGACCACCUGGACAUCAGGCUGCCCUAGACCACCAGAAGAAACAGCCUACACCACAAAGCAUGUACCCACUCUAGGCCAUCUACUGUAUGUUUACAAUUAUAUAAAUAUAAAACA